Molecule: ribosomal RNA, 442 nt
Filed under: uncultured bacterium
Lineage: Bacteria
Description: partial 16S ribosomal RNA
Rfam family: Bacterial small subunit ribosomal RNA
Source: RNAcentral
CCUACGGGAGGCAGCAGUAGGGAAUCUUUCACAAUGGGCGAAAGCCUGAUGGAGCAACGCCGCGUGCAGGAUGAAUGCCUUCGGGUUGUUAACUGCUUUUAUAAGCGAGAAAUAUGAUGGUAACUUAUGAAUAAGGAUCGGCUAACUACGUGCCAGCAGCCGCGGUCAUACGUAGGAUCCGAGCAUUAUCCGGAGUGACUGGGCGUAAAGAGGUGCGUUUGUGGCGUAAUAAGUAGCUAGUGAAAUCUGGUGGCUCAAACAUUCAGACUAUUAGCUAAACUGUUAAGCUCGAGACCGUUAGGGGUAACUGGAAUUUCUAGUGUAGGAGUGAAAUCCGUAGAUAUUAGAAGGAACACCAAUAGCGUAGGCAGGUUACUGGGACGGUACUGACACUAAGGCACGAAAGCGUAGGGAGCAAACAGGAUUAGAUACCCUUGUAGUC